UAAAGCUCCGGCGGAGACGGAUUGGCUCGCGUGACAUUAGCUGGACGGCGGGGUAACGGCCCACCGUGGCUACGAUGUCUAGGGGUUCUGAGAGGAAGGUCCCCCACACUGGAACUGAGACACGGUCCAGACUCCUACGGGAGGCAGCAGUGAGGAAUAUUGGUCAAUGGGCGGGAGCCUGAACCAGCCAUGCCGCGUGAAGGCGAGUGCCCUACGGGCGUUAAACUUCUUUUGUGCGGGAGCAAUAAGGGCCACGCGUGGCCCGAUGAGAGUACCGCACGAAUAAGCAUCGGCUAACUCCGUGCCAGCAGCCGCGGUAAUACGGGGGAUGCGAGCGUUAUCCGGAUUUAUUGGGUUUAAAGGGUGCGUAGGCGGCGCUUCAGGUCAGCGGUGAAAUACCGGGGCUCAACCCCGGGGCUGCCGUUGAAACCGGAGCGCUAGAAUUCCGAUGCCGUCGGAGGAAUGCGUGGUGUAGCGGUGAAAUGCAUAGAUAUCACACAGAACACCGAUUGCGAAGGCAUCUGACGAAUCGGAGAUUGACGCUGAUGCACGAAAGCGUGGGUAUCGAACAGGAUUAGAUACCCUGGUAGUCCACGCUGUAAACGAUGAUGACUAGCCGUCGGCGAUACAGUGUCG
RNAcentral lists this ribosomal RNA (636 nucleotides) under uncultured bacterium. RNAcentral's name for it is "bacterial SSU rRNA". It matches the Rfam family "Bacterial small subunit ribosomal RNA", at positions 202 to 839 of the family's 1533-position model. The record is from RNAcentral.